Molecule: long non-coding RNA, 269 nt
Filed under: Nicotiana benthamiana
Lineage: Eukaryota; Viridiplantae; Streptophyta; Magnoliopsida; Solanales; Solanaceae
Description: long non-coding RNA (NBEN_LNC001841)
Source: RNAcentral
CUUCAUUUAUCAACUAAACAAAAUCUCUUUCCUUCUUACAUUUAAAGGUCUUCUACCUUUAAUUGUUCUCCUACAUAAAUAUUAUACAUUCGCCGAUUAUUUUUUUGUUUAAGAGAUUAGAUGAGCGACUUUUUGGUUAAUUUUUCUUCAAAAUUGGAAAACAGAUAGAAUAAUGUUUGAAAAACUAUCUGUGAUAUUUUUGUAAAAGAUAAUAUCAGAAAAUCUGGAAUUUUGUUAUGAGUUCCAUUGCGCUGGUUUUGAAUUAAGUU